RNAcentral lists this ribosomal RNA (583 nucleotides) under uncultured fungus. RNAcentral's name for it is "bacterial SSU rRNA". It matches the Rfam family "Eukaryotic small subunit ribosomal RNA", at positions 635 to 1211 of the family's 1831-position model. Lineage: Eukaryota; Fungi. The record is from RNAcentral.
UGAACCUUGGGCCUGGCUGGCCGGUCCGCCUCACCGCGUGUAUGCUCGCUGAUGGGCCUUUCCCUCUGUGGAACCCCAUGCCCUUCACUGGAUGCUCGCUGAUUGCAGGACUUUUACUGUGAAAAAAUUAGAGUGCUCCAGGCAGGCCUAUAUGCUCGCUGAUGACAUGGAAUAAUAUGUCGUCGAGUGUGGUUCUAUUUUGUUGGUUUACUAGGACCGCCGUAAUGAUUAAUAGGGACAGUCGGGGGCAUCAGUAUUCAAUUGUAUGUCAUGCUCGUCUUGGAUUUAUUGAAGACUAAUGCUCGCUGAUAGAUUUGCCAAGGAUGUUUUCAUUAAUCAGGAACGAAAGUUAGGGGAUCGAAGACGAUUAGAUGAUGUCGUAUGCUCGCUGUAGAUGCUCGCCGAUGUCGCUACGGACGGUGUUAUUAUGCUCAUGCUCGCUGUAGAUACGAGAAAUCAAAGUGCUUGGGCUCCAGGGGGAGUAUGGUCGCAAGGCUGAAACUUAAAUGCUCGUAGGGAUCGUCGCUGAUAUGGAGCCUGCGGCUUAAAUGCUGCUCGUAAUGCUCGCUGAUAUAGCUCGUGA